GAUGAACGCUGGCGGCGUGCCUAAUACAUGCAAGUCGAGCGAACGGACGAGAAGCUUGCUUCUCUGAUGUUAGCGGCGGACGGGUGAGUAACACGUGGAUAACCUACCUAUAAGACUGGGAUAACUUCGGGAAACCGGAGCUAAUACCGGAUAAUAUUUUGAACCGCAUGGUUCAAAAGUGAAAGACGGUCUUGCUGUCACUUAUAGAUGGAUCCGCGCUGCAUUAGCUAGUUGGUAAGGUAACGGCUUACCAAGGCAACGAUGCAUAGCCGACCUGAGAGGGUGAUCGGCCACACUGGAACUGAGACACGGUCCAGACUCCUACGGGAGGCAGCAGUAGGGAAUCUUCCGCAAAGGGCGAAAGCCUGACGGAGCAACGCCGCGUGAGUGAUGAAGGUCUUCGGAUCGUAAAACUCUGUUAUUAGGGAAGAACGUAUGUGUAAGUAACUGUGCACAUCUUGACGGUACCUAAUCAGAAAGCCACGGCUAACUACGUG
Molecule: ribosomal RNA, 497 nt
Filed under: uncultured bacterium
Lineage: Bacteria
Description: partial 16S ribosomal RNA
Rfam family: Bacterial small subunit ribosomal RNA
Source: RNAcentral